CCGAGUUUACAACUCCCAAACCCCUGUGAACAUACCUAUCGUUGCUUCGGCGGGACCGCCCCGGCGCCCCCGGGCCCGGACCCAGGCGCCCGCCGGAGGACCCAAACUCUUGUCUUUAUGGUGUAUCUUCUGAGUGACAUAAGCAAAUAAAAUCA
This 155-nucleotide unclassified non-coding RNA is filed under the name uncultured Hypocreales. RNAcentral describes it as "sequence contains ITS1". Lineage: Eukaryota; Fungi; Ascomycota; Sordariomycetes; Hypocreales. The record is from RNAcentral.